AAUUAUUUUUUGUCAAUUAAAAGAAAGUGCUUAAUGCAUUUUUAUUGAGUCAGCACGUUGGCAGCAGUAAGGGAGCUCUGGCUGGGACACCUGAGUCCCCGUGAUUGCUGGGGCGCCAUGGUUGAUCUGGAAGGCGGGGUAAGUGUCCCAACUGAGGUGAUCUUCCUUUACAGAGAACUCGUCUCAAACCAAGGGCACAGGAGCAGCCGCACUUAAGAUCAAUUGUCCUUAACCACAGCAUCAUGAUACGCUGGAUUUCCCAGUCGCUUGUAAGGAAAGACAGAGAUGAAGUUAUCCUGACUGCUGAGAUGAGCAGUUUACCCUAGGAGGACCUGUGGGACUAUGUUUUGGUAAAGAAAAGUUGAGCUGCUCUGUGGGAGUGAGGUUCCAAUGAGGCCAAAUGUACAAGGUGGUGUUUUGCUCUUGUUGCCCAGGCUGGAGUACAACGGCAUGAUCUCGGCUCAACACUACCUCCGCUUCCCGGGUUCAAGUGAUUCUCCUGCCUCAGCCUCCUGAGUAGGUGGGAUUACAGGCAUGCGCCACCAUACCUGGCUAAUUUUGUAUUUUUAGUAGAAGGGGGGGUUUCUCCAUGCUGGCCAGGCUGGUCUUGAACUCCCGGCCUCAGGUGAUCUGCCUGCCUCGGCCUCCCAAAGUGCACCCGGCCAACACGUGUCUUUUCAAAUGAGUUAAUAAUAAUGUUAAGUGCUUUAAAAACUCUUAAGAUGUUUUGUGAAGUAUCAUAUUUAUUGUUUCACAAUGAAUAGAGUUAUAUAACUAUUAUAAUAAACACAA
Long non-coding RNA from Pongo pygmaeus (Bornean orangutan), 792 nucleotides. RefSeq lists it as uncharacterized. The transcript is spliced from 3 exons. NCBI's taxonomy places the organism in Eukaryota, Metazoa, Chordata, Mammalia, Primates, Hominidae. The record is from RefSeq and is a predicted model, not a curated record.